Molecule: long non-coding RNA, 1296 nt
Organism: Aethina tumida (small hive beetle)
Lineage: Eukaryota; Metazoa; Arthropoda; Insecta; Coleoptera; Nitidulidae
Exons: 2
Source: RefSeq, a predicted model, not a curated record
UCAUCACCUUCACCGAUGGACCGAUGCGACGUGCUCACAUCUAUUUAGACUAGUUUUGUUUCAUAAGCAAAUCUGAAGUAUUUGUUUACAUUUAAUAAUCGGGGCAGUUCUUAAGAAAGAACCGAGCAGUCAAGCUUUAGAUGUCGAGGGUUAAAGUACGUUUGUUGUAAUAAAGCGUAUUAUUGUGAAUUUAGUGUUUUAAUCAAACUAAAAAGACAGAUUAACAGUCGCUAAUCUAUCAUCAGAAGUGGGAUAAAGGAUAUCUUCUCGUGAAUUAUUUCCGGAAGAGAGGACCUAAAAAAAUAUUUUUUUUUUUUUUGUGUUUCUUUGUGAACGAACAAUGGCAGACAAUAGUGAAAAACGCGACCGCGCAGUAAGUCCGAACGUUGUGAACAUUACCGAAAGUGCAUCGGAGAGAGACUAGCAGCAAGAAAGUAACAACAGAUUCCAAAAACAAAACAUGGAAAUUUUAUCGACAAUGGCCAACGCCCAAACUACUCAAGCAACAUUGAAGAUGGCUGCGCAGAAGGUUUAAGUGUGGCUGCAGCGCAGUUUCGACUUGUAAGAUUUAGAAAUUGCAUUUGAGGAACAUGACUUGAAUUUGUCAGGAAUGGACGAGUGGGUUACGAAAGAAAUAAAAGAACAACCGAAUGGAUAUUUUAGACAUCUUGUGAAAAACUUUGCAACUUUAACAGCACCGAUAUCUGCACUGUUACGUGAGGGAAAAUCUUUUGAAUGGACAUUUAAAUGUGAAAAUGUACGAUUGAUUUCUUAUCCGAUUUUCAACAUUUUUGAUCUGGAAUUGUCAACCGAACUACAUACAGAAGCAAGUUCGUUAGGAUUAGAUGUCGUUGUUAGCUGUCGAAUAGAGGAAAGUUGAAACCAAAGUAUCACGGACCCUUUGAGGUAACGCAUUGUUUACCUAAUGAGAGGUACGCACUCCGAAGGAUUGGCAGCCGAGGUAGAACUACAAUAGCAGCGCAUGAACAGUUACGAACCUGGCCAGAUACAGAAAUUCUAUAAGAUUACCGGUGUCAGGUGAAUCUUUGCAAAACUGUGGAAGGUGCGAGGACGCCCCACAUGUCAGGAAGGCCGUGUUAGCUUACGUCAUCACCUUCACCGAUGGACCGAUGCGACGUGCUCACAUCUAUUUAGACUAGUUUUGUUUCAUAAGCAAAUCUGAAGUAUUUGUUUACAUUUAAUAAUCGGGGCAGUUCUUAAGAAAGAACCGAGCAGUCAAGCUUUAGAUGUCGAGGGUUAAAGUACGUUUGUUGUAAUAAAGCGUAUUAUUGUGAA